ACAACCUCCCCUCCUCGUUCCGAUAUAGUGUGUACUUUCACAAUUCGUAGAAUUUUACAUGUAUAGAUAUAGAUAUAUAUAUUUGUUUGUUCGGUGGGUUCCACAAUUCGUAGAUUGACCGAUCUGGUAGUCAAGAAGAGUGGCAUGGUUACAGUUGUGAGUAACACUAUGGGAAAGGGAGCCCUAAAUUGAAUAGGAGGAGGUAGGUCGAAAGGAUAUAAAUUCUUUUGAAUAUUGGUCACCAUGCCAUCGAUAGAGCUCAAAGGAAAAAGCUGAUUUUUGCAGCUGACCCAAUUGAUUGGGACUUAAAAGGCUUUGGUUGGUUGGUCAACAAUCUAGCUCUAAUGUGAUUAGGCAGAUUAGGAUUUGGAAGUUAAAAGGUUUUUUUUUUUCCAGGAGAUCUGUAUUUUGUUAUUUUAUGAAUAGAUGACCAGGCCCACUAAUUGCUAUGGAAAUUUCUGAAUUGCUUGUGAGCUCACCAUUUUGAUGUAGUGGCCAGCGGGAUGGAGUUUGUGUUGGGUGUAAUGCGGUUUUAGAAGUUUGAAAUGCUGUGAGACCUGAUUUGAAUUGUUGCAGGUUUGAUUAAUUCUGGUGUUAAGACAGUUUAGUUUUACUGUUUCUCAAACCUUGAAUGUUUCUAGUAGUUUCAACCUUUUGCUUAGAAAAUGGUAAGGUUAAAACAUGGCUCUACUGUUUUGAAAAGCGAGUGCUUAGGCAUGAGGUGACCUUGUAGCGCUUCAUAAGCCUUAAAGUGAGGUGCAGUCAAUUGCAUAUUUAUUUCUUUGCAUAGACCUCAAAGAAUUGUCGGACACGUUGCAAAGAGAGUGUAGUGUGCAACUUAUGAUUUUUAUUUUCUAACUAUGGACACGGAAAAGGAAAAAAGAAGAUCAUUUUAAGCUUAAAGGGCAAUAGCAACUGGUUCAAAAGUAGCACCUUAAACUGCACAUCAACUAGCAGACGACAAAGAGGAAUGGGAAGACUUGGAAGAUAGGGAUUCAGGUGAGGGAGAAGAGCAGGAUGUGAUGGAUAUAAAUCCAACCAUAACGAAGAAGGAUGAUUUGCUUAGUAAUGAGGUUGAUUACUAGGUUCUUAAGAGUAGACAGUGGAGCAAUAUUGGAUAUGUAGUCCCUUUGAAAGAUAUCUUACCAGAUGUAGAACUUAUAACAUCAGUUGUUGACAAUGUUCUAAAAGUCACUCGGCGCUAGUCGGGCGGUCAGCCACCUUCGAGCGAUUAAUCGGAUUGAUCGACGAUUAAUCGGUGCAUAUUAAUUAGUAAUCGGCGAUUAAUCGUUAAUCGGACCUAAUCAGAUAGGCCCCGCCAGCUAUUAAUCGGUGAUUAAUCGCCGAUUAAUUCCUUGUUUUAGAACACUGGUUGUUCAUGGAUGUUACGUGAUUUCUUAGUAAUUGGAGAUUUGGAAUAUUAAAUGUUAUGUUAAAUAAUUUUUGGAAUUCUUAAUAUAGCUGCUUCCGGUGAAAAUGCUAUUUAUAUUAUUGAGGGGCACACCUUAAUGAUAGGCUUCGGGGGACCUUGUCCCUCAAUGCGCUGCGCUGCAUGGAACGACAAAAUCCACAUACGAUUAGUAUGUAAUGUUAACUUUUGCAUCUAACAGGGACGGAGCCAUCAAUAAGGGUGGGGGUGCCACAGCCACCUCAACCCUUGCUAGAACUCUAUAUAUGGUGGAACGUUCCUGAAAUAUAUAAUGGGAAAAUUACCUCUCUAAGGAUAGAAAAGUGCAUGUUAAUUCCCAUUAAGGAUGAACUCAGCUUUUAUUUACCUCGAAGGACGAUCACAUUAUGAAGAUUAUCCUUUUACCCUUCAAUAAAUACAAUUUCAUACUUUAUUAUAUUUUACUAUUAUAGGGUAGGGUACCCUAGAGUUUAGGCACUUUCAUAGGGUUUUAGGGUGCACUAUCCUAUUAUAGGGAUUUAGUGGUUUAGGCACUUUCAUAGAGUACCCUUGGAUUUAGGUUUAGGCACUUUCAUAGGGUUUAGGGUUUUAGGCACUUUCAUAGGGUAUCCUAGGGUUUAGGUGUAGGCACGUUUUAGUGGUUUAGACACUUUUAUAGGGGCAAUUUUGAAAAAAUAUUCCAGAAAUACUUAACAGUGCGUUUCCGUUUUUUUCUGGACCUAUACGUAAAAACCCCAUAUAUAAUUAAGUAAAAGAACUGAUUUGUCCAACAAAAAACCAUUUAUUCCAGCACUUUAUUUUUAGCAUGUCAUGCUCAUGUGAAAGGCUAAAAGAAAACGUAAAAGUUUGAAAAGUUUAAAGGGCCUUAAUAUGAUAUAAAUUAUGUAUGCAGGAUAUUAGAACCGCCUUAGAGGAUAUAUUUUGCUAAGAAUGAAUAGAAAGCGGUUUGAUUUUUCUCGUUUUGUUCUUUCAUUUUGAUGUAAAUUUCAUGCUUGUACUUCAAAUGAUGUGGAAUGAAAACUUGUAUUCUACCAAUCAUGUUAAUACAUGAAAUUUUAGUUUGUAGGUUUUGGCACCCCUUAUAUAUAGAUACUGGCUCCGUGCCUCCGUCCCUGGCACCUAACUGCCAUUAUUUAACUGCUCUGUUUUUCCAUUUUCUGAGAUUAGCGUCAUUGUAUUUUGUAUCCCGGUUUCAGAAUAAAUUAUGCAACCCAUGGAUACUGAACUCAAAACAAUAAGCCAACCAACAACUUUUGUUUUUAAAUAUAGAGCAUCGUCAGUUAUUUUAUCUAGUUCUCGCUGUUGUGUCUGUUGUUGACAGUGAGAAAUCUACUGAUUACAUUCUUAAAUUGGAUAUAAUGAUCCUUUAAACCCUUUAACAAGACCAGCGAACAUGAAAAUUGCCAAUUAUUCCUUCGUUAAUAUUAAGUGAGGCGUUUCAAAAAAAAUUUGAGAGGGACUGCAAAAAUGGAGAAGAAACUGCAUCACUUUUUGCUGCAAAGUUACCACCUUUUAAUUAGA
Molecule: long non-coding RNA, 2929 nt
Organism: Rhododendron vialii
Lineage: Eukaryota; Viridiplantae; Streptophyta; Magnoliopsida; Ericales; Ericaceae
Exons: 4
Source: RefSeq, a predicted model, not a curated record